GAUGAACGCUGGCGGCGUGCCUAAUACAUGCAAGUCGUACGGAAAGGCCCUUCGGGGUACUCGAGUGGCGGACGGCUAAGUAACGCGUGGGAACGUGCCCCAAAGUGAGGGAUAACGCACCGAAAGGUGUGCUAAUACCGCAUAUGUCUUCGGAUUAAAGCUUCGGCGCUUUGGGAGCGGCCCGCGUACGAUUAGAUAGUUGGUGAGGUAAUGGCUCACCAAGUCGACGAUCGUUAGCUGGUCUGAGAGGAUGAUCAGCCAGACUGGGACUGAGACACGGCCCAGACUCCUACGGGAGGCAGCAGUAAGGAAUCUUCCACAAUGGGGGCAACCCUGAUGGAGCAACGCCGCAUGCAGGAUGAAGGUUUUCGGAUCGUAAACUGCUUUUAUAAGUGAAGAAUAUGACGGUAACUUAUGAAUAAGGAUCGGCUAACUACGUGCCAGCCGCCGCGGUAA
Molecule: ribosomal RNA, 456 nt
Filed under: uncultured bacterium
Lineage: Bacteria
Description: partial 16S ribosomal RNA
Rfam family: Bacterial small subunit ribosomal RNA
Source: RNAcentral